CAUAAAAGAUCUUGAUAAAGUUUUUCAUUUACAYUGAAAAGAUCUAUAUUAAAUUAUAGUUUUGUGA
RNAcentral lists this transfer RNA (67 nucleotides) under Ceratophysella communis. RNAcentral describes it as "tRNA-Val". The record is from RNAcentral. Lineage: Eukaryota; Metazoa; Arthropoda; Collembola; Poduromorpha; Hypogastruridae.